AGUGAACGCUGGCGGUAGGCCUAACACAUGCAAGUCGAACGGCAGCACAGUAAGAGCUUGCUCUUACGGGUGGCGAGUGGCGGACGGGUGAGGAAUACAUCGGAAUCUACUUUUUCGUGGGGGAUAACGUAGGGAAAGUUACGAUAAUACCGCAUACGACCUACGGGUGAAAGCAGGGGAUCUUCGGACCUUGCGCGAUUGAAUGCGCCGAUGUUGUAUUUGCUGGUUGGGGGGGUAAAGGCCCACCAAGGGGACGAUCGGUAGCUGGUCUGAGAGGAGGGUCGGCCACACUGGAAGUGAGACACGGUCCAGGCUCCUACGGUAGGGAGCAGUGGGGAAUAUUGGACAAUGGGCGCAAGCCUGAUCCAGCCAUACCGCGUGGGUGAAGAAGGCCUUCGGGUUGUAAAGACGUUUUGUUGGGAGAGAAAAGCAGCAGGUUAAUACCCCGCUGUUCUGACGGUACCCAAAGAAUAAGCACCGGCUAACUUCGUG
This 492-nucleotide ribosomal RNA is filed under the name uncultured bacterium. RNAcentral describes it as "partial 16S ribosomal RNA". It matches the Rfam family "Bacterial small subunit ribosomal RNA", at positions 29 to 507 of the family's 1533-position model. The record is from RNAcentral.